Molecule: ribosomal RNA, 118 nt
Filed under: Oryctolagus cuniculus (rabbit)
Lineage: Eukaryota; Metazoa; Chordata; Mammalia; Lagomorpha; Leporidae
Source: RNAcentral
GUCUUCAGCCAUACCACCCUGAACGCACCUGAUCUCAUCUGAUCUCGGAAGCUAAGCAAGCUCAGGCCUGGUCAGUACUUAGAUGGGAGAAAGCAAACAGAGUGACCGUGUGAUCACC